UACGUAGGGUGCGAGCGUUUGUCCGGAAUUACUGGGCGUAAAGAGCUCGUAGGUGGUUUGUCGCGUUGUCCGUGAAAACUCACAACUCAAUUGUGGGCGUGCGGGCGAUACGGGCAGACUGGAGUACUGCAGGGGAGACUGGAAUUCCUGGUGUAGCGGUGAAAUGCGUAGAUAUCGAGAGGAACACCGGUGGCGAAGGCGGGUCUCUGGGCCGAUACUGACGCUGAGGAGCGAGAGCGUGGGGAGCGAACAGG
Molecule: ribosomal RNA, 254 nt
Filed under: uncultured bacterium
Lineage: Bacteria
Description: partial 16S ribosomal RNA
Rfam family: Bacterial small subunit ribosomal RNA
Source: RNAcentral